This 65-nucleotide transfer RNA is filed under the name Dipodomys ordii (Ord's kangaroo rat). It matches the Rfam family "tRNA". Rfam says of the family: Transfer RNA (tRNA) molecules are approximately 80 nucleotides in length. Their secondary structure includes four short double-helical elements and three loops (D, anti-codon, and T loops). The record is from Rfam by way of RNAcentral. Lineage: Eukaryota; Metazoa; Chordata; Mammalia; Rodentia; Heteromyidae.
GGUGGCUCAGUGGUUGAGUACUUGCCUGGCAUGCAUGAGGCCCUGGGUUCGAUUCCUCAGCACCA